UACGUAGGGUGCGAGCGUUGUCCGGAAUUAUUGGGCGUAAAGAGCUCGUAGGCGGUGUGUCGCGUCGGUCGUGAAAACUUGGGGCUUAACUCUGAGCUUGCGGUCGAUACGGGCAUCACUGGAGUUCGGCAGGGGAGACUGGAAUUCCUGGUGUAGCGGUGAAAUGCGCAGAUAUCAGGAGGAACACCGGUGGCGAAGGCGGGUCUCUGGGCCUUACCUGACGCUGAGGAGCGAAAGCGUGGGGAGCGAACAGG
This 254-nucleotide ribosomal RNA is filed under the name uncultured bacterium. RNAcentral's name for it is "partial 16S ribosomal RNA". It matches the Rfam family "Bacterial small subunit ribosomal RNA", at positions 524 to 776 of the family's 1533-position model. The record is from RNAcentral.